CAGGGGGCAAGGAUCGAGCAUAGCUGCAAGCUGUCACACUCUUGACUUAAAGAGACAGUGUGCUAAUUCCACAUAAACACAUAGACAGCCAGUCAAAGACCAGCUACUAUAUCUGGGCAGCAAGUCUGAAGGAAAUGAAGCACCACUGUUAUAUGAAAGCAUACACACACAUUACAGUUUUAAGUCUUUUCUUUUGUGGAAUAGGACGACAAAAGAGUGGGGAACAAUGAGAGGAGGUGAUGGCUACCUUGGAGAAAAGAAAUGAAUGAAAGGAGAAGAGAAGGAGAAAGAGAACAGAGGCAGUGAUAAUGUGAUGGACAGGUGAAGGCAGGCAGGGAAAUGGAUGAGCAAACGCUGUAAACAUUUUCCACUGGCCUCUGUGUUAGUGUCGUUGUGUAGGGAAUAUUAAAGGAAUACAAAAUUUGGAUAUGCAUAAGGUUACUUGCAUGAAAGUAGCAGAUGGCCAUACAAUAACCUUGUCUUUUUUUUUUUUUAAUUGCUGAUUUUUUUUUUAAGUUAACAUCAUUCAAAUAAAGCCAGAGAGAGAAUCUGUACCACAACAGCCAUAUUUCUUGGCUUUAUCACAGCACAAGGUCAUUAAUAUGUCCUUCACUUUUAAGUCCCAGCAUCCCCACUGAGAUAGACUAAACAUUCACGUCACACCAACAUCUUUUAACCACCUGACGCACACAGCUGUGCAUGUCCAGAUACUGCUCCCUACCCACACACCAUAGAAGAGCAAAGAGUAUCUGUGGAUGCCUGAUAGCUCACUGUCAGUCAGAGCCCCGUGGCAGGAAAGUGGCUGAUUGCAUGUGCAAGGAUGGGGGGUGGGACUACAGCUAUUUAAAACUGUACGUGUCCAUCUCUCUAGUCUUCAGCAGUGCCUGAACCGGCACCACUACCACUUUCUUUGAUUUUCCUUUUUUCCACAGAAAGCAUCCCACUCCCUACUGUGGCUCGGUAAAGCAGAUGAACAGGCCUCUGUUCUUGGGUUCAGACAAAUUAUGUAACAUCACCAUUGGUUGAGAAGGAGCACUAUCUGGGUCUGAGGCUACUGUACUCACUGUCCUUGAUCUGUAUGCAUGACUUGCUCGCCUGGGAUUACAGACCUCAAACCAGGCAGUAGAACUAUCAGUGCUGAUGAAGAUUCCAGAGGUGGGACCAAGUCAUUGUUUUGCAAGUCUCAAGUAAGUCUCAAGUCUUUAUCCUCAAGUCUCAAGUCAAGUCUCAAGUAAUGUCAGGCAAGUCAGAGUCGAGUCUCAAGUCACUGGUGUAAAAGUCCGAGUCAAGUCACAAGUCUGAAAUUUUGAAUUUCAAGUCCUUUCGAGUCUUUAAAAAAAAAAACGAAAAAAUAAUGUUGCAGUUAUGCUAAAUGUAAAUAUUAGACAAUGUAAUUUUUAAAUCUGUGUUUUUCU
Long non-coding RNA from Astatotilapia calliptera (eastern happy), 1415 nucleotides. Lineage: Eukaryota; Metazoa; Chordata; Actinopteri; Cichliformes; Cichlidae. The record is from Ensembl.